Molecule: transfer RNA, 103 nt
Filed under: Lentinula edodes (shiitake mushroom)
Lineage: Eukaryota; Fungi; Basidiomycota; Agaricomycetes; Agaricales; Omphalotaceae
Description: tRNA-Asp
Source: RNAcentral
UCCCUGGUAGUAUAUCGGUUUAGUACACGCGCCUGUCAUAAUGCCGCCAGGGUGAGAUGAUUUCUAUGCGCGCGAAAGCUGGGUUCGACUCCCAGCCAGGGAG